Molecule: regulatory RNA element, 163 nt
Organism: Paenibacillus sp. oral taxon 786
Lineage: Bacteria; Bacillati; Bacillota; Bacilli; Caryophanales; Paenibacillaceae
Rfam family: FMN riboswitch aptamer (RFN element)
About the family: The RFN element is a highly conserved domain that is found frequently in the 5'-untranslated regions of prokaryotic mRNAs that encode for flavin mononucleotide (FMN) biosynthesis and transport proteins. This element is a metabolite-dependent riboswitch that directly binds FMN in the absence of proteins.
Source: Rfam
GCAAUCCUUCGGGGCAGGGUGAAAUUCCCUACCGACGGUGAUGGCUCAUUGGACGCUCGUUCGAUGAAGCACAAGUCCGUGACCCGCAGCGCUUACGUAAGCAUGCGGCUGAGCCGGUGAGAUUCCGGGACCGACAGUAUAGUCUGGAUGGGAGAAGGAAAAC